UGGGGAAUAUUGGACAAUGGGGGGAACCCUGAUCCAGCGACGCCGCGUGAGUGAAGAAGUAUUUCAGUAUGUAAAGCUCUAUCAGCAGGGAAGAAAGAAAUGACGGUACCUGACUAAGAAGCCCCGGCUAACUACGUGCC
Molecule: ribosomal RNA, 140 nt
Filed under: uncultured bacterium
Lineage: Bacteria
Description: partial 16S ribosomal RNA
Rfam family: Bacterial small subunit ribosomal RNA
Source: RNAcentral